Molecule: transfer RNA, 74 nt
Filed under: Caudoviricetes sp.
Lineage: Duplodnaviria; Heunggongvirae; Uroviricota; Caudoviricetes
Description: tRNA-Gly
Rfam family: tRNA
About the family: Transfer RNA (tRNA) molecules are approximately 80 nucleotides in length. Their secondary structure includes four short double-helical elements and three loops (D, anti-codon, and T loops).
Source: RNAcentral
GCGUGUGUAGUUUAAUGGUAGAAUGUUGGUCUUCCAAACCAAGGGUGAGAGUUCAAUCCUCUCUACACGCUCCA